CCACCUCCCACCCGUGUUUAUUGUACCUUGUUGCUUCGGCGGGCCCGCCUUUACGGCCGCCGGGGGGCUCACGCCCCCGGGCCCGCGCCCGCCGAAGACACCCUCGAACUCUGUCUGAAGAUUGUAGUCUGAGUGGAAUUAUGAAUUAUUUAAAACUUUCAACAACGGAUCUCUUGGUUCCGGCAUCGAUGAAGAACGCAGCGAAAUGCGAUACGUAAUGUGAAUUGCAGAAUUCAGUGAAUCAUCGAGUCUUUGAACGCACAUUGCGCCCCCUGGUAUUCCGGGGGGCAUGCCUGUCCGAGCGUCAUUGCUGCCCUCAAGCACGGCUUGUGUGUUGGGCCCCGUCCCCCGGUCCCGGGGGACGGGCCCGAAAGGCAGCGGCGGCACCGCGUCCGGUCCUCGAGCGUAUGGGGCUUUGUCACCCGCUCUGUAGGCCCGGCCGGCGCCUGCCGAUCAACCCAUUUUUAUCCAGGUUGACCUCGGAUCAGGUAGGGAUACCCGCUGAACUUAAGCAUAUCAAUAAGCGGAGGAA
RNAcentral lists this ribosomal RNA (532 nucleotides) under Penicillium sp. ch26. RNAcentral's name for it is "eukaryotic LSU rRNA". The stretch from base 154 to 307 matches the Rfam family "5.8S ribosomal RNA". The record is from RNAcentral. Lineage: Eukaryota; Fungi; Ascomycota; Eurotiomycetes; Eurotiales; Aspergillaceae.